AGGAGGAGCCUACCUGCUGGUCCCGGAGGAGGACCUGCUGGUCCCGGAGGAGGACCUGCUGGACCCGGAGGAGGACUGGCCGCUAGACCGCACCGACGACGCCGGUUAAGCAUGGACCAGCCGCCUUCAUUGGAAGUGGAUUCGACCGGAGCGGAUCAACGCGUGGACGUCUGCGCACACACACACACUUCUUCGGUGGCUUAGCAAGAAAAAUAAUUGCGUUCAUGUGUAAACUCACCUCCAUGCAAUGAUGAACAAAGAACAAAGACAAUAAAACUUUCCAUUUAGCCUCUAGCGAUAUAAACCGGGGUCCCCCACACACAAACGUCCUAUGCUUAAUAAUCUUUUCCAAUCGAUUGAUCAUUUAGUGCCACUGCCAGUGAAAUAAGAAAUUGCGCUAGCGUUACAUUUUAGGUUAAAUAUUGACAUUGUUAAGAUCCUUGAAGUCCGUUCUUGUGUAAACUCACCUCCAUGUAAUGAUGAACACUGACAAUGAAAGACUCGUUGCUUAUU
Molecule: long non-coding RNA, 513 nt
Organism: Gadus macrocephalus (Pacific cod)
Lineage: Eukaryota; Metazoa; Chordata; Actinopteri; Gadiformes; Gadidae
Exons: 2
Source: RefSeq, a predicted model, not a curated record